This is a transfer RNA of 73 nucleotides. It matches the Rfam family "tRNA". Rfam says of the family: Transfer RNA (tRNA) molecules are approximately 80 nucleotides in length. Their secondary structure includes four short double-helical elements and three loops (D, anti-codon, and T loops).
CCCGCCUUAGUUUAGUAGCUAGAACGCUCGGCUGUAGACCGAGAGGUCCCCGGUGCAACUCCGGGAGGCGGGA